Molecule: transfer RNA, 77 nt
Filed under: Deltaproteobacteria bacterium
Lineage: Bacteria; Pseudomonadati; Myxococcota; Myxococcia
Description: tRNA-Asp
Rfam family: tRNA
About the family: Transfer RNA (tRNA) molecules are approximately 80 nucleotides in length.
Source: RNAcentral
GCGGCGGUAGUUAAGUUGGUUAUAACGCCGGCCUGUCACGCCGGAGACCGCGAGUUCGAGUCUCGUCCGCCGCUCCA